UGGGGAAUUUUGGACAAUGGGCGAAAGCCUGAUCCAGCAAUGCCGCGUGUGUGAAGAAGGCCUUCGGGUUGUAAAGCACUUUUUGUCCGGAAAGAAAUCCUUGGCUCUAAUACAGUCGGGGGAUGACGGUACCGGAAGAAUAAGCACCGGCUAACUACGUGCCAGCAGCCGCGGUAAUACGUAGGGUGCAAGCGUUAAUCGGAAUUACUGGGCGUAAAGCGUGCGCAGGCGGUUUGCUAAGACCGAUNUGAAAUCCCCGGGCUCAACCUGGGAACUGCAUUGGUGACUGGCAGGCUAGAGUAUGGCAGAGGGGGGUAGAAUUCCACGUGUAGCAGUGAAAUGCGUAGAGAUGUGGAGGAAUACCGAUGGCGAAGGCAGCCCCCUGGGCCAAUACUGACGCUCAUGCACG
RNAcentral lists this ribosomal RNA (409 nucleotides) under uncultured bacterium. RNAcentral's name for it is "partial 16S ribosomal RNA". It matches the Rfam family "Bacterial small subunit ribosomal RNA", at positions 355 to 755 of the family's 1533-position model. The record is from RNAcentral.